Non-coding RNA from Cicer arietinum (chickpea), 897 nucleotides. Lineage: Eukaryota; Viridiplantae; Streptophyta; Magnoliopsida; Fabales; Fabaceae. The record is from RefSeq and is a predicted model, not a curated record.
AAAACGAAAAGAAAAGAAAACAUAGACAAGUAUUUUCAAUGCUUUGUACCAAUUUUUCUAUAAUUUUUUAUAAAAGGUAAAAAAAUUAUUCUUAUAUGUGGUUUUGUUUCAUUUUGUUCUUUUACUCUUUGUGUUUCUAGUUUUAUUACCUCACAAUUCAUUCUUUACCAUUUAAUUUCUAAAUUUGUUGUUUGCUAAAAAAUAUAUAUUUAAUAUAUAAUCACUUCUAUGAGUGUGAGAUCUUCAGAUUUUAUUCGGUAAUUUCAAGUCAGUGUCAAUAGCUACCACAGGAAGGAAAAACACUAAGGUUAUCCAACAUUGUAAAACUUGGAGUGGCUUGUAGUUCUUUCAUGGAAGUAUUUCCCCCUCAAAGACCUGACUUUGACUGUACGAAAAUCCUUUCAAAGCUUAAAGGAUUAUUGUUGAGCAUCUGGAUUCAUGCCCUUGCCUAAAAAUCUUAGUGCCAUCCACUGUGUCUUUCUCAAAUCUUCUGCAUCUAGAUGUUGGUGAAUGUAAUGGAUUGGUAUAUUUGCUCACAUCAUCAACAGCCAAAAGUUUAGGUUCAUUGAAGGAGAUGAUUCUAUGGAAUUGUGAAUCAUUACAAGAAAUAGUGUUCAAAGGAGAUCAUGAAUCUGGUGAUGAAGAGAUAAUAUUUUGACAGUUUAAAGCUCUGUCCUUAUAGUAUUUACCAAGCAUGGUAGGCUUUUACACUGAGACUCCUAUGUUGAAAUUUCCAUGCCUGGAUUAUCAAGUAACAUUAUAUGGGAAUGCCCUAAAAAACGUUCAAUACUUAAUCCCGAGUAAACCAUUAAUUUAUUUUUGUGCUUUUAACUGUUUCAAUGUUAACAUCAAAUAUCCACGUCUAUUUGUUAUGUUAUAUUUUUUAUUUUAGGGAGA